UCCUUGGUGGUCCAGUGGAUAAGACUCUGUGCUUCCAAUGCUGGGUCCUGGGUUCAAUCCCCAGCCAGGGAA
This is a transfer RNA of Ovis aries (sheep), 72 nucleotides long. It matches the Rfam family "tRNA". From Rfam's summary of the family: Transfer RNA (tRNA) molecules are approximately 80 nucleotides in length. Lineage: Eukaryota; Metazoa; Chordata; Mammalia; Artiodactyla; Bovidae. The record is from Rfam.